ACAGGUGCAUUCAGGACAUAUUGGAUAAAGUCUGGAUACUUUUGGGCACUAAAACAGUUAUGAGCAAACAAAGGAAUCCAAGUGACCAAAGAAGCUAGCCCUGGUGUGGAGCUGACAUUUCUAGAGAUUUCAUCACUCUCUGGCCUCUAUCACAGUGCCACUGUUUAAGAGAUGUGCCAUGUUUGUAAAAUUCGCAUAAAAAUCACCCAAGAAAAAGGGCAGGUUUGGUGGAGGAGAGAAGGAAACUCUGAUUUUGUCUGAGUGGAGUUCUCAUGCCUUGCAUCUUUUGCAUAAACGUGUAUGGAAAG
Long non-coding RNA from Mastomys coucha (southern multimammate mouse), 308 nucleotides. RefSeq lists it as uncharacterized. The transcript is spliced from 2 exons. Lineage: Eukaryota; Metazoa; Chordata; Mammalia; Rodentia; Muridae. The record is from RefSeq and is a predicted model, not a curated record.